RNAcentral lists this ribosomal RNA (465 nucleotides) under uncultured bacterium. RNAcentral's name for it is "partial 16S ribosomal RNA". It matches the Rfam family "Bacterial small subunit ribosomal RNA", at positions 338 to 795 of the family's 1533-position model. The record is from RNAcentral.
CCUACGGGUGGCAGCAGUAGGGAAUAUUGCGCAAUGAGCGAAAGCCUGAUGGAGCGACGCCGCGUGAGGGAUGAAGGUCUUCGGAUCGUAAACCUCUGUCAGCAGGGAAGAACGGUCACUGUGCUAAUCAGCAGUGAAUUGACGGUACCUGCAAAGGAAGCACUGGCUAACUCCGUGCCAGCAGCCGCGGUAAUACGGAGGGUGCGAGCGUUAAUCGGAAUUACUGGGCGUAAAGCGCUCGUAGGCGGUAUGUCAAGUCAAGGGGUAAAUCCCCGCGCUCAACGUGGGAACCGCCUUGGAAACUGGCAAACUGGAGUGAGUGAGAGGAUAGUGGAAUUCCAGGUGUAGGAGUGAAAUCCGUAGAUAUCUGGAAGAACAUCAGUGGCGAAGGCGACUAUCUGGCACAUAACUGACGCUGAGGGGCGAAAGCGUGGGUAGCAAACAGGAUUAGAUACCCGAGUAGUC